UACGUAGGGGGCAAGCGUUAUCCGGAUUUACUGGGUGUAAAGGGAGCGUAGACGGCAUGGCAAGCCAGAUGUGAAAUACCGGGGCUCAACCCCGGGACUGCAUUUGGAACUGUUAAGCUGGAGUGUCGGAGAGGCAGGCGGAAUUCCUGGUGUAGCGGUGAAAUGCGUAGAUAUCAGGAGGAACACCGGCGGCGAAGGCGGCUUACUGGACUGUAACUGACGUUGAGGCUCGAAGGCGUGGGGAGCAAACAGG
Molecule: ribosomal RNA, 253 nt
Filed under: uncultured Blautia sp.
Lineage: Bacteria; Bacillati; Bacillota; Clostridia; Lachnospirales; Lachnospiraceae
Description: partial 16S ribosomal RNA
Rfam family: Bacterial small subunit ribosomal RNA
Source: RNAcentral